AACGAACGCUGGCGGCAUGCCUAACACAUGCAAGUCGAACGAGACCUUCGGGUCUAGUGGCGCACGGGUGCGUAACGCGUGGGAACCUGCCCUUAGGUUCGGAAUAACUCCCCGAAAGGGGUGCUAAUACCGGAUAAUGUCUUCGGACCAAAGAUUUAUCGCCUUUGGGUGGGCCCGCGUUGGAUUAGCUAGUUGGUAGGGUAAAAGCCUACCAAGGCGACGAUCCAUAGCUGGUCUGAGAGGAUGAUCAGCCACACUGGGACUGAGACACGGCCCAGACUCCUACGGGAGGCAGCAGUGGGGAAUAUUGGACAAUGGGCGAAAGCCUGAUCCAGCAGUGCCGCGUGAGUGAUGAAGGCCUUAGGGUUGUAAAGCUCUUUUACCCGGGAUGAUAAUGACAGUACCGGGAGAAUAAGCGCCGGCUAACUCCGUG
This 433-nucleotide ribosomal RNA is filed under the name uncultured bacterium. RNAcentral describes it as "partial 16S ribosomal RNA". It matches the Rfam family "Bacterial small subunit ribosomal RNA", at positions 29 to 507 of the family's 1533-position model. The record is from RNAcentral.